GUGUCAGCCGCCGCGGUAAUACGGAGGGUGCGAGCGUUAAUCGGAAUGACUGGGCGUAAAGGGCAUGUAGGCGGAUAAUUAAGUUAGGUGUGAAAGCCCUGGGCUCAACCUAGGAAUUGCACUUAAAACUGGUUAACUAGAGUAUUGUAGAGGAAGGUAGAAUUCCACGUGUAGCGGUGAAAUGCGUAGAUAUAUGGAAGAACACCAGUGGCGAAGGCGGCUCUCUGGUCUGUAACUGACGCUGAGGUUCGAAGGCAUGGGUAGCGAACAGGAUUAGAUACCCUGGUAGUCCAUGCCGUAAACGAUGAGUGCUAAGUGUUGGGAGGUUUCCGCCUCUGAGUGCUGCAGCUAACGCAUUAAGCACUCCGCCUGGGGAGUACGACCGCAAGGUUAAAACUUAAAUGAAUUGGCGG
This 413-nucleotide ribosomal RNA is filed under the name uncultured bacterium. Its description in RNAcentral is "bacterial SSU rRNA". It matches the Rfam family "Bacterial small subunit ribosomal RNA", at positions 505 to 916 of the family's 1533-position model. The record is from RNAcentral.